UGGGGAAUAUUGCACAAUGGGCGCAAGCCUGAUGCAGCCAUGCCGCGUGUAUGAAGAAGGCCUUCGGGUUGUAAAGUACUUUCAGUCGGGAGGAAGGUGGUAAGGUUAAUAACCUUAUCAAUUGACGUUACCGACAGAAGGAGCACCGGCUAACUCCGUGCCAGCAGCCGCGGUAAUACGGAGGGUGCAAGCGUUAAUCGGAAUUACUGGGCGUAAAGCGCACGCAGGCGGUCUGUCAAGUCGGAUGUGAAAUCCCCGGGCUCAACCUGGGAACUGCAUUCGAAACUGGCAGGCUAGAGUCUUGUAGAGGGGGGUAGAAUUCCAGGUGUAGCGGUGAAAUGCGUAGAGAUCUGGAGGAAUACCGGUGGCGAAGGCGGCCCCCUGGACAAAGACUGACGCUCAGGUGCGAAAGCGUGGGGAGCAAACAGG
This 429-nucleotide ribosomal RNA is filed under the name Chloroflexota bacterium. Its description in RNAcentral is "Chloroflexi bacterium partial 16S ribosomal RNA". It matches the Rfam family "Bacterial small subunit ribosomal RNA", at positions 355 to 776 of the family's 1533-position model. The record is from RNAcentral. Lineage: Bacteria; Bacillati; Chloroflexota.